RNAcentral lists this small nuclear RNA (208 nucleotides) under Daucus carota subsp. sativus. Its description in RNAcentral is "sRNA DCAR_sn00197". The record is from RNAcentral. Lineage: Eukaryota; Viridiplantae; Streptophyta; Magnoliopsida; Apiales; Apiaceae.
AGAAGGUAACUUAUAUUCAUGCAAAUUAAAUAUCUUCAACCUCCAUCCUGUUUACAUAUGACUUACUCGCUCCAAUUUAUGUAAUGAAACAUGACUGCAUGACCAGAGCGUGAUUAACAGCCAGUUUGGUCGGUUGACCCUUAAAGCUGUAGAGGAUCGUUCUCAGCCGGAUUCUCUGGCUGGGGUGGUCUUGCAGUUGUCUGACAGA